This 746-nucleotide ribosomal RNA is filed under the name Staphylococcus pseudintermedius. RNAcentral's name for it is "partial 23S ribosomal RNA". It matches the Rfam family "Bacterial large subunit ribosomal RNA", at positions 2110 to 2857 of the family's 2925-position model. The record is from RNAcentral. Lineage: Bacteria; Bacillati; Bacillota; Bacilli; Caryophanales; Staphylococcaceae.
CCUGAUAUUGAAAUUCGGUACAGUUUGUACAGGAUAGGUAGGAGCCUUAGAAGCGUGAGCGCUAGCUUACGUGGAGGCAUUGGUGGGAUACUACCCUAAUUGUAUUGGAUUUCUAACCCGCAGCACUUAUCGUGCUGGGAGACAGUGUCAGGCGGGCAGUUUGACUGGGGCGGUCGCCUCCUAAAGAGUAACGGAGGCGCUCAAAGGUUCCCUCAGAAUGGUUGGAAAUCAUUCAUAGAGUGUAAAGGCAUAAGGGAGCUUGACUGCGAGACCUACAAGUCGAGCAGGGUCGAAAGACGGACUUAGUGAUCCGGUGGUUCCGCAUGGAAGGGCCAUCGCUCAACGGAUAAAAGCUACCCCGGGGAUAACAGGCUUAUCUCCCCCAAGAGUUCACAUCGACGGGGAGGUUUGGCACCUCGAUGUCGGCUCAUCGCAUCCUGGGGCUGUAGUCGGUCCCAAGGGUUGGGCUGUUCGCCCAUUAAAGCGGUACGCGAGCUGGGUUCAGAACGUCGUGAGACAGUUCGGUCCCUAUCCGUCGUGGGCGUAGGAAAUUUGAGAGGAGCUGUCCUUAGUACGAGAGGACCGGGAUGGACAUACCUCUGGUGUACCAGUUGUCGUGCCAACGGCAUAGCUGGGUAGCUAUGUAUGGACGGGAUAAGUGCUGAAAGCAUCUAAGCAUGAAGCCCCCCUCGAGAUGAGAUUUCCCAACUUCGGUUAUAAGAUCCCUCAAAGAUGAUGAGGUGAAU